This 486-nucleotide ribosomal RNA is filed under the name uncultured bacterium. RNAcentral describes it as "partial 16S ribosomal RNA". It matches the Rfam family "Bacterial small subunit ribosomal RNA", at positions 30 to 507 of the family's 1533-position model. The record is from RNAcentral.
AUUGAACGCUGGCGGCAUGCCUUACACAUGCAAGUCGAACGGCAGCACGGGUGCUUGCACCUGGUGGCGAGUGGCGAACGGGUGAGUAAUACAUCGGAACAUGUCCUGUAGUGGGGGAUAGCCCGGCGAAAGCCGGAUUAACACCGCAUACGAUCCACGGAUGAAAGCGGGGGACCUUCGGGCCUCGCGCUAUAGGGUUGGCCGAUGGCUGAUUAGCUAGUUGGUGGGGUAAAGGCCUACCAAGGCGACGAUCAGUAGCUGGUCUGAGAGGACGACCAGCCACACUGGGACUGAGACACGGCCCAGACUCCUACGGGAGGCAGCAGUGGGGAAUUUUGGACAAUGGGCGAAAGCCUGAUCCAGCAAUGCCGCGUGUGUGAAGAAGGCCUUCGGGUUGUAAAGCACUUUUGUCCGGAAAGAAAUCCUUGACUCUAAUACAGUCGGGGGAUGACGGUACCGGAAGAAUAAGCACCGGCUAACUACGUG